GAUAGAUGAAUACGUGGAUGAAUGAGUUGGUAGAUGAGUGAAUGGGUGAAUGGAAAGAUGGAUGAUGUCGAGAGUCAGUGUUUUCACAAAAUCUCCCUGCCCAGGGAGGAGUCCAUUCUCAGGCCAGGCCCUGCCGUCACCCCACAGCAGCCCUGCCAUGGCCCUUCUCUCCUCAAUGGCCUUCGAGGGAAAAGGAAGAAAUGUGUCUUGGCUGGAGGCCCACGUUUCGUUCCAGCACAUCCUUUUUACCAAAAGAGCCGUCCCUGGAGCUGCCAACAGUGUUUACAAGAAAACCAUCCAACAAUAGUUUGGAUCUGGGAGCAUGGCCUGACCAUAGACGUGGCCUUCCCCACCCUGAGAACCAACCAUCAGGAAGCCUGGCACAUGAUACGAAAAGGCAGAGAUGCAGAAACAGACGCUGUGCAUGUCCCUGCAAGACUGAUACAAGAUGACUGAGAAAUGUCAUCUGAGAGAAGGGGAAGAACCAGCCCUACAUUAAAAAGGUAAAGAAAUAGAAGAAAAAAAAUCAUGAAGUCAGUGUGUAAUUAUAGUUGAUGCAUAUAUUGUAUUUUAUAAUGCCACCUGACCUGCCUCUUGAGAAAUCUGUAUGCAGGUCAGAAAGCAACAGUUAGAAAUGGACGUGGAACAACAGACUGGUUCCAAUAGGAAAAGCCGUACGUCAAGGCUGUAUAUUGUCACCCUGCUUAUUUAACUUGUAUGCAGAGUACACCAGGAGAAACGCUGGGCUGGAUGAAGCACAAGCUGAAAUCAAGAUUGCCAGGAGAAAUAUCAAUAACCUCAGAU
RNAcentral lists this long non-coding RNA (804 nucleotides) under Bos indicus x Bos taurus (hybrid cattle). RNAcentral describes it as "lncRNA (ENSBIXG00005004482.1)". The record is from RNAcentral. Lineage: Eukaryota; Metazoa; Chordata; Mammalia; Artiodactyla; Bovidae.